CCCGGCCCCGGAUAAGCGGAAGAAGAUGGUAUGGUAUGUUAUGUCAACUGGCUGAUGAAGCAGACACCCUGGGACCCUAUGGAAGCAGCCCUUAAAAUAAGGCGCUGUGACCAGGAGGCAGCUACACCCGAUCCUCCCCUUGCUGUUGUUAAGACAACUUCAGGGCUUCUUGGAGCAGUGGUCAGUGUUUUUAGAAGCAGUGUUUAGUGGCCCCAGGACAACUGAAAUCAAUGGUGAGGAAGAUCCUUGCCCCAUAGAGUGCGGUUCUUGCUACGAACCCACGCUAGGCCUCCCAGGAUCCACCACAAGCUGCUGUCUGGGCCGAAGAGGAGGUUAUGCCACAGCAGUCUUUCCCCGCUUCCGAGGCAUUCUGAGCUGCUUCUUCCCGGGAGCUGGCGGGCAGUCCUCAACAGAGUGGACAACCGAAAAGUAAAGAGACUGGUCCCAGCCAAAAGGGGUCCGUAUCUACCUGCUCCGCAACCGGGAGGAAGACUUGAACAGUGGCUGGAAAAGAUGAGAAACACUCCGGGGCGAGGUGCUGAAGGACACUGAGCCACUUGUUGGGUGAUUGUGGACAUUUCUCUUUGUAAAUAGUUCACAUUGUUUCUCUCUACCAAGACCUUUUAAUCAGUGCAGAGGCUUGUGUGUGUCGCUGACCCUCAGAUCUUUGUUGUUUGUAGUAUAUGACUUCUGGAUUCUUAUGGGAAACCGUUCUGAGGUGAGAUGCCGGAAUAUUGUCAGUCAAUUUUCCUAUGUGUGGUUUCUUUCCAUGCUCAUAAUCAUCUUAAAACACAAAUUUGUAUUUGUUUUAAGGGUGACAUUUGUCACCCUUUUAUUUCCAUAAAAUGUGUAGAUAGUGAACUGAACUGUGUAUAGAAGUACUGCUGAGUAGAAGAUUUCAAUGGUGGUCAGUAACAGUAAUAAUCCAGGUCCCACUGUUGUAUCCUUUAAUUUCUGACAUGUGGUGGAAGAAACCUCUGACAUACAACAGAAUUGUUUGGUUGAGCUACUUUAUUGUAAAUAACUUGUUUGUAUUGUUUUGUCGAGGCUUUGUACAGACUACACAUGGCAAACUAACAGAAUGCUUUCUUUUUUGGAUCAAAAGUCCUUUUGAUCCGAGAGCCCCUGAAGGUUAAUCACCUAUACCAUAGCCAAACUAUCCUCUGGAAAUGCUGGUAUCUCCAUAUGGGCCUUGGUACUCCUCCUGAAGGGGAAAGAAGUAAAAGAUUAAGAAACACUUACAAUGUGUUAAACUAAUUAGUUCAUAGCUGACCCUGUGACAAAAUAAUUUUCGGUCUAGACCUUUUAAAGCAGGUAGACCUGUUUGCUUUGGUGUGGGUGGAUAUUAAAACAGUACCAUUCAAUGUCAUCAAUAAUCACAGUACAGACAUUGUUUUAUUACAUGUGAACUUAUGGAAAAUACAUUGAUUAUUCUGUUAGUACUUCUUUACUGCAUGCCUAAUAUUAUGUAUACACAUUGACCUGUCCUCUAUGGUCAACAUUUGUUUUUCUGUAUCUGUGUUCAGGGACAGUAAUGAUUGGCAUGGGCCAGGCCCUGUUCUAUCAAUUUGCAGAAACCAUCAAAAGCAGCAGGCAGUUUCUGUUACUUGUAUUGUGCAGGUUAAUGUCUGUAUUAUUUACUGGGAGAUAAGUUAGCAGAAAACCCCAUACAGUAACUGACCCAGCUGAUAUGUGAGCCUCACAGGGUUGCCUGGGCAAGCAACAUUCUAUGAUUUCUUGUCUCCUGGAUCUUUGUGCAACCAUGCAUUUCCAAGGCUAUUAUGGUUGCAACUAUUUCUUGUAUCUGCAUACAGCAAGGAUUAGGGGCCACAUAUGCACAGUUUGGAA
Molecule: long non-coding RNA, 1848 nt
Organism: Esox lucius (northern pike)
Lineage: Eukaryota; Metazoa; Chordata; Actinopteri; Esociformes; Esocidae
Exons: 4
Source: RefSeq, a predicted model, not a curated record